This 468-nucleotide ribosomal RNA is filed under the name uncultured bacterium. RNAcentral's name for it is "partial 16S ribosomal RNA". It matches the Rfam family "Bacterial small subunit ribosomal RNA", at positions 28 to 507 of the family's 1533-position model. The record is from RNAcentral.
GACGAACGCUGGCGGCGUGCUUAACACAUGCAAGUCGAACGGAAAGGCCCUGCUUUUGUGGGGUGCUCGAGUGGCGAACGGGUGAGUAACACGUGAGUAACCUGCCCUUGACUUUGGGAUAACUUCAGGAAACUGGGGCUAAUACCGGAUAGGAGCUCCUGCUGCAUGGUGGGGGUUGGAAAGUUUCGGCGGUUGGGGAUGGACUCGCGGCUUAUCAGCUUGUUGGUGGGGUAGUGGCUUACCAAGGCUUUGACGGGUAGCCGGCCUGAGAGGGUGACCGGCCACAUUGGGACUGAGAUACGGCCCAGACUCCUACGGGACGCAGCAGUGGGGAAUAUUGCACAAUGGGCGGGAGCCUGAUGCAGCAACGCCGCGUGCGGGAUGACGGCCUUCGGGUUGUAAACCGCUUUCGCCUGUGACGAAGCGUGAGUGACGGUAAUGGGUAAAGAAGCACCGGCUAACUACGUG